CCGCUGUGGGUGACCAGGACAGGGCCCGGGGCGUUUCUGGCGCCCCCGACAACCGGCUGGUCGCGUACCAGCUCGGCGUU
This 80-nucleotide transfer RNA is filed under the name Mycobacterium pseudokansasii. RNAcentral's name for it is "Mycobacterium sp. MK142 tRNA-Arg". The record is from RNAcentral. Lineage: Bacteria; Bacillati; Actinomycetota; Actinomycetes; Mycobacteriales; Mycobacteriaceae.